This 389-nucleotide ribosomal RNA is filed under the name Pseudoalteromonadaceae bacterium. RNAcentral's name for it is "bacterial SSU rRNA". It matches the Rfam family "Bacterial small subunit ribosomal RNA", at positions 1 to 384 of the family's 1533-position model. Lineage: Bacteria; Pseudomonadati; Pseudomonadota; Gammaproteobacteria; Alteromonadales; Pseudoalteromonadaceae. The record is from RNAcentral.
UUUAAUUGAAGAGUUUGAUCAUGGCUCAGAUUGAACGCUGGCGGCAGGCCUAACACAUGCAAGUCGAGCGGAAACGAAGAGGUGCUUGCACCUCUGGCGUCGAGCGGCGGACGGGUGAGUAAUGCUUGGGAAUAUGCCUUAUGGUGGGGGACAACAGUUGGAAACGACUGCUAAUACCGCAUGAUGUCUACGGACCAAAGUGGGGGACCUUCGGGCCUCACGCCAUAAGAUUAGCCCAAGUGGGAUUAGCUAGUUGGUGAGGUAAUGGCUCACCAAGGCGACGAUCCCUAGCUGGUUUGAGAGGAUGAUCAGCCACACUGGGACUGAGACACGGCCCAGACUCCUACGGGAGGCAGCAGUGGGGAAUAUUGCACAAUGGGCGCAAGCCU